UACGUAGGGGGCUAGCGUUGUCCGGAAUCAUUGGGCGUAAAGCGCGUGUAGGCAGUCCGGUAAGUCCGCUGUGAAAGUCGGGGGCUCAACCCUCGGAUGCCGGUGGAUACUGUCGGGCUCGAGUCCGGAAGAGGCGAGUGGAAUUCCUGGUGUAGCGGUGAAAUGCGCAGAUAUCAGGAGGAACACCUAUUGCGAAGGCAGCUCGCUGGGACGUAACUGACGCUGAGACGCGAAAGCGUGGGGAGCAAACAGG
This 253-nucleotide ribosomal RNA is filed under the name uncultured bacterium. RNAcentral describes it as "partial 16S ribosomal RNA". It matches the Rfam family "Bacterial small subunit ribosomal RNA", at positions 524 to 776 of the family's 1533-position model. The record is from RNAcentral.